CCUACGGGAGGCAGCAGUGGGGAAUAUUGGGCAAUGGACGAAAGUCUGACCCAGCCAUGCCGCGUGAAUGAUGAAGGCCUUAGGGUUGUAAAGUUCUUUCGCCGAUGAAGAUAAUGACGGUAGUCGGAGAAGAAGCCCCGGCUAACUUCGUGCCAGCAGCCGCGGUAAUACGAAGGGGGCUAGCGUUGUUCGGAAUUACUGGGCGUAAAGCGAGCGUAGGUUGCUCGACAAGUCAGUGGUGAAAGCCCAGAGCUCAACUCUGGAACUGCCAUUGAAACUGUCGAGCUGGAAUGUCAGAGGGGAUAGCGGAAUUCCAAAUGUAGGGGUGAAAUCCGUAGAUAUUUGGAGGAACACCGGUGGCGAAGGCGGCUAUCUGGAUGACUAUUGACACUGAGGCUCGAAAGCGUGGGGAUCAAACAGGAUUAGAUACCCUGGUAGUCCACGCUGUAAACGAUGGAUGCUAGUUGUUGGGGGGUUCCCUCUCAGUGACGUAGCUAACGCGUUAAGCAUCCCGCCUGGGGAGUACGGUCGCAAGAUUAAAACUCAAAGAAAUUGACAGGGACCCGCACAAGCGGUGGAGCAUGUGGUUUAAUUCGAGGCAACGCGAAGAACCUUACCAGGCCUUGACAUGUCCAGUUUGAUUACCAGAGAUGGUUUUCUUCACUUCGGGUGGCUGGAACACAGGUGCUGCAUGGCUGUCGUCAGCUCGUGUCGUGAGAUGUUGGGUUAAGUCCCGCAACGAGCGCAACCCUCGUCCUUAGUUGCCAUCAUUAAGUUGGGAACUCUAAGGAAACUGCCUAUGAUAAGUAGGAGGAAGGUGGGGACGACGUCAAGUCAUCAUGGCCCUUACGGCCUGGGCUACACACGUGCUACAAUGGUAGUGACAAUGGGCAGCGAUACCGCAAGGUUCAGCUAAUCCCCAAAAACUAUCUCAGUUCGGAUUGUCCUCUGCAACUCGAGGGCAUGAAGUUGGAAUCGCUAGUAAUCGUAGAUCAGCAUGCUACGGUGAAUACGUUCCCGGGUCUUGUACACACCGCCCGU
RNAcentral lists this ribosomal RNA (1041 nucleotides) under uncultured bacterium. Its description in RNAcentral is "bacterial SSU rRNA". It matches the Rfam family "Bacterial small subunit ribosomal RNA", at positions 338 to 1397 of the family's 1533-position model. The record is from RNAcentral.